UAUCAGUACAGUGGAAUAAAAGCUGAAGAAAGAAUGGGGGGAGGAGGUGCUGUCAAAACCUUCCAGUUACUCUGUGACUUGGGAGAGGUUUACAUUUUUCAGGGUUUUGGAAAUGUUUCUGUUUCUCAACAAAAGGAAGGAAAGAGAUGGAGUAGUUAUGGGGACAAGGGAUUCCGUGGAAGUGAAGCAAAGGGAGAGAAGACUGGAAAGCAGGGCUGUUACCUGGAACCCUGCUCUGCUAUUUUCCUCUGAGUGAGUGACCUUGUUCAUCAGAAGAAACCUCUUCUUAAGAAAAGCAGAGCUGGGCUAAAGUGAGGGACAGGGAGCAGUACGGAGCUUUUUGUUUCCAUAAACUUACCGAGGAAUGGCACGCAACUUCAAUGCACAUGUGAUUAAACUAAUCUAGUUAAAAUCAGAAAAGGAUUUCUCAUAAUUCAAUUGGAGUUGUUUUUAAUGUUUGGACUUUGGUCAAGGACAGCUUUAUUGAUUGAAUUUAAUUGCUUAUAUUUUCCUGUCCAUUUAUUGAAGCCCAUUUUUCAAGUCACUUGAGAGGCUGCUAACAUUUCAGAAAGGGGAUAUGCCAAAGCAUUGCUUUAAUUCAUUAUCUUUUUGGACAUACAGUAGUUGCUACUUGGCCCAAAUUAAAUCCGUUAGAGAAUGUGAUCGCGUAAUUACUUACAGGUAUCCAAAACUGCUCUUAACAGAAUUCUCUAGGAGGUUAUGCAUAAGAUUUGUUUUGCCCUUACAUUGGAUGCAAAUGUCUGGAAUUUCAAUGAUAAAUAAAUAUUUCAUCAACCGAGGACAGAUUUUUCUCAUUUCCAUAUGUUGCUGAUGGACUAAAAUUCUUGUGAUGUGUUUAUUUUUCCUUAAAAAUAAAAGUCUCUUAUAAAUUAGCUCAGUCACUUUUUCAAAAUAUGUAAACACAGUGAUCCUUGAGGUAAAGAGGAAACCACCUGUGAUUCUGCCUUGUUUUUUUUUUCUUUCAAACUAUGCUCAACCCUGAAAGACUUUCUAGACAAAACUUCACAUUAGCUAGAUUGCUUCACACUGUGUUCUGAUGAUGUCAAGUCUGUGAUUCUCUAAAAGUUACGUCAGUCUGAUUCCAAAUGGAGUGAAGGGCUGGAUGUUCCCAGCCUGGAAAGCACUAUAGGCUGGAAAACACCAUAGCAAGGUCAGCAAUGAGUUGCACUGCAAACCCCCAGCCAUAGCCCUUCGACAGAACCAGAGCUCCUGUAGCUCUGUCCCUGCUUUCCUCACCUAUUUGCUCCGAUUUCCUCGUCUUUUGCUCCCAGUUGUGGCUUCCUGGCUUGGAGAAGUUCUCAGUCUAGCAAAGAAAUGGGACAGGAGCCUGUCUGUAAGGACAGAGGAGCUUCUGCUGGCAGUUGUGGACCCACCUGGUGUUGGGCUCAGCUCUCUGGCUCUGCACUGAAAUUACCUGGCAUUAUCUUGUGUUUUGUGAAAACUAAAUCUGCAAUAGUUGCGCUUGUUAAAAUUGUAUUUAUUGAUAUGAGGUCUACGCAAAAAAUGUGAAUCUACCUAUAAAAACUCACAUUCAGUGCUUUUCAGGCACAUUUUGUUAGGGAGAUGCAUAAGACCAGACUUUUUUAAUUUCAAAAACCUCAAAUCAGACACAAUCCAGACUUACAUAUUAAUUUUUCUUAUUUAAGAGAGCAUAAUGCUUCCUUGGAGUGAGAUAAGGUUCCCACAAAGACCCCAGGAUUUAUCCUCUUCUUGCAGUAGCUCUGUGGUUAACAAACGCAAGCUGAAAUACCUGAUAUAUGUAAUACCUCUCCUCCUCACAAAGCACCCAACAUUUAAAUGUUGCCUAAUUCACAAAAGUUUUGCUUUGGAAUCCAGUGAUCAUAUUUGAUAAAAGGCACAAGGAAUUCCUUUCACAAGGAAUGGAACCACAGAUGGUUAUGUGAUUUGAGGGCCACUGAACAUCAACAGUUUUACCAAGUGAAUCAGAAUUACAGAAACACCUGCAUGACUGCAUCUGCAGACUCAGCUAAAUUACGCUUCCAUCCAGCCACAUGAUAUUUAGUGUGUAAUUCUUAUGCAUUUUAAUCAAAUGCAUUGUAAUGACAGUAGAAAAUUUCAAUAUGAAUGCACCUUAAUGUAGGAGUAACUAAUAGCUGCCAUCCAUUAGUACCAGCUAAGAGACAUACUUCCUCCUAAGCAACAGGGGCACGGUUAUUUUAACUCAUUACCUGCUUUGUAAAUGACAUUUAAUUGCACAUGAAGUGGAGAUGUUCACAGGACAUCCUGGGAAUGCAAGACUGAGCACCCAGAAGUUAGCAAAUAUUUGAAAAAACAUUGUAGAGAGGUGUUCAUGAACUCCCUGCAUGGCAAGACAGGGUCUGUGCACUCUGCCCAAAUGGUGCCUCCUCCCUGUAAAACUGCUCUGACUUUUGCAGUUUAAUGCUGUAAAAUUUUUGCUGAGCACAAGCAAAUGUGAAGUUUGUAAAGGCUUUUGAGAUUUGAUGGAUUUUUGAGACUUCCAUAAAACAUUUCUUGAGAAACAGAUGAUGUAGGCCAGUCUCCUGAUUGUUGCUUUCAAACCAGGAUGUUAUCAGACCUUUACAGGGUCAAACUGUGAGAACAGUAACACUGAAAAAUAUUUCCUAGAACCUUUCUUAUGAAUAGAUGAAUUAGUUUGAGUAAAAGUUUUCUAGAAGGAAAUCAGCCUGACAAAAACAUGAAUUUUGGAAAAUGUCUUCUGAUGGUUAAUACUAGGUAAAGUUAUGAGCACUGAAAUUCAAGCUUUAAAACAGAAAAGACUGGCCAACCUUGACCAGCCAGCCUUGGGAGAUGGAAAACUGUGAGUCACUGUGUGCUGAAAUUGCUCUUAUUUGGUUCUGUCCUGAGAUGUGGCCCCAGUUUAGCCAGAGGUCAGUCUGAUGUCCACAGGGACUAAAUUCAAGAUUUCUGCCCUGGUACGAGGUUCUGCCCACAAUGUAGCUGGGGGGAUCAGCACCAGAUCUCUGGAAAACAGACACUGUUUUAUCCUGGUACUGUUAGAGGCCUGUUCAUGCUUCUAGUGCCAGUAGGGAAAACCUGAAAGCAUGGAGUGAAGUAGAAAGUGAAGAUUUAAACUAAGUAAAUUCCUGAAGGGCUGGCUAUUGAAACACUGUGCUUCCUGCCCAUGUUUGACUUUACUUCAGUUCAUUGGUCCCUAGUGCACCCAGAAUUAUAGCUCAGUAAACUUCUCCAAGGAUCAAAACAACCAUCCAAAAUCUCAAAGUGUGGCUUAAAAGCAGGAAACCUCCUAGCAGAAAAGAGAUUGAGAGAACAUGUCUUGACUAGGUCAUUUCCUCUUUCAGAUGUGGACACAUUUUCAUUACAAAUUACUCUGAAAUCAGUAAUUAUUUUCAUAUGGUUAACAAAAAAUACUGAUUCAACAUUUGCAUCUCCCUGAAUUGCACAGUGGAGUGGGCUUGCAGAUGGCACAAGAUGCAUCAGUUUUACAAAACAUAUUGAAGACUUCAACUUCACGAUGGAAAAUGUUCUGUCAUCACUUAACUUAUAGGCACGUGAAUUCCAGCAGAGUGGGGAGCCCACAGUUACAAGAACCACAAAAGAUGCUAAAACCAGGUACACGGAAAUAAAAUGUAAAUACUCAAAGUUAGCUCAGCUUUCCAUUUGUUUUCGUAACUACUGGGUGUUAAAGCUCCAACCAUCCUGCCUAGGUGGAGCCACACACAGAGCCCAAACAUCCAAGUCCCACUUAAUUCCUUAAAAAACCUGCCCUUUCUUUAAUGGAGUGACUUAACUGUAUACUGUUUCAUGGCAAACAGAAGGGAACACACAGAAUAAAGCUACUUUAUGCAUUAACCUUGGAUUCCCGUUUGUGUCUAAGAAAUAUUUACCAUGAGCCUGCAAACCCCAUCAAGCAGCUCCUGUGUGGAAGAAGGAGAAGGGAAGGGAGGUUGCACUCGGUGGUCCUGUUAAGUGCAGUGAUUUCUAAUAACAGCCACGUUUGCUGUGAGUGAUCUGGAUCAACAUCAAAAAAAAACCCCCAUCUAGUCAAGUGCCCAGCAAGGGGUCUAUUCUCAUGUCCAUGCUCAUAUGUUAAGUCCCAUUGACAAGCAUUAGUGGGAACUGUGUGCACAUAUGGAUAUGUGAAUAGCCCCAAUGGGAUCUGCAUAAAGUAGUGUUUGACUAUACAGAGAUCCCUUCAAAUGCCACGAUAAAAUAGUCAAGGGGAAGAAGCCCUAAAAAGUGCUGUGAACAAGCCAAACAAUUUAAAGAAAUUGAUAAAUAAUGGAGGUUAAAAAUGAAACAGCAAAAUUUAAAUAGCAUUAGAAUCUGUUAUUUGAACUAAAUACAAAAUGAGAAUUAUCUUUAAGAAAUUAACCCUGCCCAAAAUUUAUAAAACCAGCUCAUAACUCCAAGUUCUCUAAUUUUUAGAGCCUCUUUGUCUUCCUCUUGCUCUAUAUCCUAAAUAGAAACAUGAGACACAGAAAAAAGCUCUUACCGACAAGAGGUGAGUUAAGAAAAGCACAGAUAAGCAUUGCUCUGCUGAAGAACACAGGACAUGAAAUAGUGGCAGCUCUACAAUAGGUCAAUGAUAAUGAUGCUCCUGAGGUUAUGCAACACCAACAGCCACUCUAUAAAUGUCAGAGCCUUGCAGAAGCUUCCUGGGAGAGGUUCCUUGCUACCUGAAAAGCCUCCAGCAGCCAAUCUGCUGGACAACAAAAAUCUCUGAAGAAUUUGUUCUCUUUCUGUAGGCAAUCUUCAGAUUUUUUCCUGAAACCACUACCUAAUUCAAAAUCCCAUUUUGGAGAUUUUGAGGAUUUUUGAAUGCCAUUUUGAUGAUUUGGAGAACUGUUCUUACUUAUGCUCACAUAGCUGAAACAACAAAACCCUUCCUGACAGCCACACAUAAAUAGGUGCAAUGAACAAUGAAAUCAUCAAUUAACAGAGCAGACAGCAAUCACUGCUGUGAUAAGUGCCCAUAUUAAGAACCUAAAUUGAUGGGAUAUGGAAUAGAUGAUAAGCAAAUAAUGUGUAUCAAUCAGGCCUAAUUGUGAUCAAGAUCACUGGUUUCUUAGCCUGUUCUGGUGCCCGUAGUGGAAUUCAACCACUGAAUUGAAAGUUAUUGCAGAGUCCUGCAUGUCUACGAAAGUCUCACUGGCUUCAGACCCAGGUCCAAAUUGUUCCAGCAAUGCUGCUUUGGAACAUUCCGAGGUGAAGCAAUCCAUAUGACUGACAGUGAAAGCUCUUAUCUUACAGGAUGUCCUUUUCCAGUGGUCAUUUAGACCAAGAGCCAACCUAUUAAUCACAGCAAACCAAAGCUUGUUAGGUCCCUGCUGGCCAAAGCACUUGAGAAGACAAAAGACACCACUUUCCAGCUGACACCUGCAAGUAAUUACACAUGGUGAUAGCAGUGCGUGAAAGAACAAUUUGAGAACCAAUGCUAAGAAGAGAGGUGCAUUUCUUUUUUAUAGACUGAACUAUUUUCUGAUCUCUAAAGUGCCUUAGGGUCUUAGAAAUCAAAGGCAAAUUAGGGAGGGUAAAGAAAAUCAGUUGCCAGGUGUUCAUCUGGAGAAAUGAUAGAUCUCCAGUGAUUUUCACCAGUUCUGGAAGCAAAUUCCCCUUCUAAGAUGACACUGUAUUUUAUUAUAAGGUUUUUAAUCAGAGUAAUGGCAGAGAGCAACUGCUCCAUGGAGAAGAGAAUCUGGAGGCCCACUCCUCCCAGAGUGUUUUCUCUACCUACCAACAGAUUUUUCAGUCUGUCUCCAAUGUCUUUGGAUAUCAGGACACAUAUGAGGCAUGGCAAAGACAGGCAUGCAUUUUUAGGAAAAGGUAAAAUAUGAUGGCUGAUCCUUUCCUAAAAACCUCCUGGAGAGAAGAGGAGACAAGAUGAGAAGAUGGCUCCUCCUCUGAAGAGCACCAAGCAACCACAGCCAGAUUUCUACUUCUGGAAGAUAAUCUACCCCCAGGUUCGACUUCCAAGACUUCUUCAUAUUGAAAGAAAAGAGGAAGAUGAAUUUACACUCACAGACUGAGAAAUAAGUCACCAUCAUGUUGUACCACCAUAUCCUGGAUCUAUCAGAUAUUUUAAAGAAAAAGAAGUUUCUCAGAUAACAUCCUUCCCAUCAACUAAUUUCAGCUCGUAUUUCAUUUUAAGAUGCUGAGUUGAUUGGUGGGACAAUUUUCUGCUCCGAGUUGAUCACCAGCAUCACUGCAAGCCAAAGGCAGGUCCUCAGCCACUGCAUCAAUCUCUGCCUAAGUCCCUGAGACUGUUGAGCUGUCCAGGUUUUGCUAUCACUGACGAUUUCAAUGUCCCUCAAAUCUUUUGCAUUUGAGUUAUCAAUUAAUAAUGCUGCUCAGUGUCUUUUUUUGCUUUGGUUUGUUAUAGAGUUAUCAGUGUCUCUUCUAUGGACAGUGUGUUGUGUUGUAGUUAUGGGGCAGAUACCAUCAAAGACAUUCUGCAUUUACACAUGUAAGCAAUGAAUGAAAUGCGUGAAUCUCACAGAAUUUUGUACUGAAAUUUCCCUGAAGAAUAGUCCUCUUGGGAAAACUACCCAGGACCACCUGGAGGCACAUGUUCCAUGCAGCUGGUGGAGUGUGUGAGGGAAGGCUGUAAUUCCAGCUAGCUACAGACAGCUGAGGGACCACCUCAGGUAAAUAAUUAGGAGGUGAACAAACAAAAAAGUGCCAUCUCAUCAUGUACCAUACAUGCACUGUGAGCUCUGCUGAAUGGAGUUACUUUGCAGAGCUCGACACAAUCACCUUGAGCUGAGGUUUUGCAGAGGAUGCUUAGUAUAAACUGAAAAUGUUUUAACUGUCAGAAAUGGCAUCUUCCCUGGAGUAUCUUUCUCUAGGGAAAAACAGCCUGAUCCUCACCAGCUGUACAUGGCAGUGCUGCUCCCACAGAGGAAAGGGCUGUCGAUCCACAGCAGGGGUGGCUGGAAAGACCCCAGGGAGCAGUAAAGGAGACCUGAACAUUAAAGUAUUUCAUAUCAGAUCCAGUUACAUCUGUCUGUAAAAUUAGUAACAACCUAGACACCUGUUAGUUAUGAUUCAUGGGCUAAUAAAUAUGUUAAAAGGCAGAAAGGAUUGUGCUGAGCCUUGCACAGAACUGUCUGUGCUAUUGGAUUUGAUAGAGUUUAGCUCCCAGCUUUGGUCAGGGGCUAGGCUGAACUGUGCUCCAUCCAAAGUUAGAUGGGAGACCUCCAAGAACAUGCCAGAGCUGAAAGAAAUGGGAUGAGGUCCCUGCUUUCUCUUCCUUCUGCAUUAGAUUGAGCUGUAGUUGGAGGCACCAUGAGAUGGUACUGGAGAGUCUUGAAAUGAUUACUGCCUGCUCAUGGCUUUGACAGUUGUUGAGUUUUUUUGGGUAUUGAGAGAGGAGCAAGUGUGUAGGAUGCAAGCAACACAUAGGGAACUGCUGUGGUGAGUGUGUAUGACCAGAGCAGAAGAGAGCUGUGUGAGCAGCGUGACAAGUGUUUGGCAGCAUUUCUUACAGUAAUCAAUCACUGAGACAGAAUUGUAUCAGAAGAAGAGGCUUGGGGUGAAGUUUCAGGCUAAUAUUCUGCCUGUAACCCGCUCCCAUCCAGGAAUGUCUGAUUCACAUUGUGAAUAAAACAGGCUUCUAGGUGGAAGACGGCCAGGGAUGUGGUCACUGCUUCUCCUUUGCCACAGAGCAGAGGCACAGAACUCUGAGGAAUCGGCCAUUUCAUACCAGGAGGCAGGCAAGGGCUGAAAGAUCUACUGGUAGGGGGCUGCUUUUUGGGGGGUUUGUGUAGCUCCAGCAGCACACAAACUGUCUCUUUUUAAAAAUAAUACGUUAUUAGAGAUAUAUGAAUGUGUGAAAUCUGCACACCUGGCCUGAGUCUGGAGAGCCCAUGAAAUGUGUUAGGCUUGUUAUUACUUGAUUAUUCCAUUGCACAGGUGUACGUUCCUGCUCCCAAAUGCUUAUGCAAUGACUGCUGAUGUAUAUAGACUCAGCACUGAAGGCUAGAGAAAGCCCCUUGAUACAUGACAAUUUAUUGUGUGCUAUUGUCCCUGCAUUAAAUGCACUCACUUGGUUUUAGUUACCACAGGUCUUCUGGUCUUGCUUUGAAAACAAAAUGUGAAAAAAGAUAGCAUCUACUUUGCACCUUGAAAAUCAGCCUUCAGCUACUCUGGCUAUUAAAACCCCCUAAAUUCUCACUUGAGUUUGUUUGACUUCAACUUGCAGUUGUCCAUUUUUCUCUGAAAGAUUAAAAAUGUCAUCAGUAUCCAGCAGAUAAUUCCAGACACAUCUUGUAGAUACUUAAAUACUUACACAUUACACUCAUGUCACGUCCCAGUGUUCUUUCCAGUAAGCAAGGCAGAUUGAGCGCUUUAAGUCUUUCACCAUUAAGCACUUUCUUCAGCCCUAAAAUCCUCUCUGUGGCUCUUUUCUGCACCCUCUCCAGUUUUCCAACAAUUUUUUAAAAGUGUGAGCACUAGAAACCACAUAAUCUUGUAUUGUCUGUAUUAAAAGCAAUUGUGUUUGAAUGGGCUCAGCUCAUGAAGCAACUGAGAUCAUUUGGAGUGUCAUUCUCAUCGCUGUCUGUCACUCCACCAAUGUUCCUGUCACCCUCAGAUUUAUCAGCUGUGAAUUUACAGUGUUUACAUCCAAAUCAUUGAAGAAAACAUUGACUAGCAUCUGACCUGAUGCUGAUCCUGGUAAAACUCUCCCGUUUGAUAACAACUCCUGAUUCAUAGCUACUUUUUAACAGGCUGUUUGCCAAUUCCUAAUCUAAUUAGUGCAUGCUCUGCUGCUAUUUCUAAUGCUUUUUGAUCAGAAUAUCACACAGUGUUAAUUCUAAUCUCCAUUAAAAAAUGAAUAUCACA
Long non-coding RNA from Corvus hawaiiensis (hawaiian crow), 8826 nucleotides. RefSeq lists it as uncharacterized. NCBI's taxonomy places the organism in Eukaryota, Metazoa, Chordata, Aves, Passeriformes, Corvidae. The record is from RefSeq and is a predicted model, not a curated record. The transcript is spliced from 2 exons.